Molecule: ribosomal RNA, 425 nt
Filed under: uncultured bacterium
Lineage: Bacteria
Description: bacterial SSU rRNA
Rfam family: Bacterial small subunit ribosomal RNA
Source: RNAcentral
ACUCCUACGGGAGGCAGCAGUGGGGAAUCUUGGACAAUGGGCGCAAGCCUGAUCCAGCCAUGCCGCGUGAGUGAUGAAGGCCCUAGGGUCGUAAAGCUCUUUCGCCAGGGAUGAUAAUGACAGUACCUGGUAAAGAAACCCCGGCUAACUCCGUGCCAGCAGCCGCGGUAAUACGGAGGGGGUUAGGCGUUGUUCGGAAUUACUGGGGCGUAAAGCGCGCGUAGGCGGACUGGAAAGUUGGGGGUGAAAUCCCGGGGCUCAACCCCGGAACUGCCUCCAAAACUCCCAGUCUUGAGUUCGAGAGAGGUGAGUGGAAUUCCGAGUGUAGAGGUGAAAUUCGUAGAUAUUCGGAGGAACACCAGUGGCGAAGGCGGCUCACUGGCUCGAUACUGACGCUGAGGUGCGAAAGUGUGGGGGAGCAAACA